GCUCAUGAUGAACGCUAGCUACAGGCUUAACACAUGCAAGUCGAGGGGCAGCAUGGUCUUAGCUUGCUAAGGCCGAUGGCGACCGGCGCACGGGUGAGUAACACGUAUCCAACCUGCCGUCUACUCUUGGACAGCCUUCUGAAAGGAAGAUUAAUACAAGAUGGCAUCAUGAGUCCGCAUGUUCACAUGAUUAAAGGUAUUCCGGUAGACGAUGGGGAUGCGUUCCAUUAGAUAGUAGGCGGGGUAACGGCCCACCUAGUCUUCGAUGGAUAGGGGUUCUGAGAGGAAGGUCCCCCACAUUGGAACUGAGACACGGUCCAAACUCCUACGGGAGGCAGCAGUGAGGAAUAUUGGUCAAUGGGCGAGAGCCUGAACCAGCCAAGUAGCGUGAAGGAUGACUGCCCUAUGGGUUGUAAACUUCUUUUAUAAAGGAAUAAAGUCGGGUAUGGAUAUCCGUUUGCAUGUACUUUAUGAAUAAGGAUCGGCUAACUCCGUGCCAGCAGCCGCGGUAAUACGGAGGAUCCGAGCGUUAUCCGGAUUUAUUGGGUUUAAAGGGAGCGUAGAUGGAUGUUUAAGUCAGUUGUGAAAGUUUGCGGCUCAACCGUAAAAUUGCAGUUGAUACUGGAUAUCUUGAGUGCAGUUGAGGCAGGCGGAAUUCGUGGUGUAGCGGUGAAAUGCUUAGAUAUCACGAAGAACUCCGAUUGCGAAGGCAGCCUGCUAAGCUGCAACUGACAUUGAGGCUCGAAAGUGUGGGUAUCAAACAGGAUUAGAUACCCUGGUAGUCCACACGGUAAACGAUGAAUACUCGCUGUUUGCGAUAUACUGCAAGCGGCCAAGCGAAAGCGUUAAGUAUUCCACCUGGGGAGUACGCCGGCAACGGUGAAACUCAAAGGAAUUGACGGGGGCCCGCACAAGCGGAGGAACAUGUGGUUUAAUUCGAUGAUACGCGAGGAACCUUACCCGGGCUUAAAUUGCAGAUGAAUUACGGUGAAAGCCGUAAGCCGCAAGGCAUCUGUGAAGGUGCUGCAUGGUUGUCGUCAGCUCGUGCCGUGAGGUGUCGGCUUAAGUGCCAUAACGAGCGCAACCCUUGUUGUCAGUUACUAACAGGUUCCGCUGAGGACUCUGACAAGACUGCCAUCGUAAGAUGUGAGGAAGGUGGGGAUGACGUCAAAUCAGCACGGCCCUUACGUCCGGGGCUACACACGUGUUACAAUGGGGGGUACAGAGGGCCGCUACCACGCGAGUGGAUGCCAAUCCCCAAAACCUCUCUCAGUUCGGACUGGAGUCUGCAACCCGACUCCACGAAGCUGGAUUCGCUAGUAAUCGCGCAUCAGCCACGGCGCGGUGAAUACGUUCCCGGGCCUUGUACACACCGCCCGUCAAGCCAUGGGAGCCGGGGGUACCUGAAGUGCGUAACCGCGAGGAGCGCCCUAGGGUAAA
RNAcentral lists this ribosomal RNA (1440 nucleotides) under uncultured bacterium. Its description in RNAcentral is "bacterial SSU rRNA". It matches the Rfam family "Bacterial small subunit ribosomal RNA". The record is from RNAcentral.